RNAcentral lists this long non-coding RNA (1073 nucleotides) under Homo sapiens (human). RNAcentral describes it as "HSALNT0300565". The record is from RNAcentral. Lineage: Eukaryota; Metazoa; Chordata; Mammalia; Primates; Hominidae.
UCCACCCGUCUCAGCCUCCCAAAGUGCUGGGAUUACUGGGGUGAGCUACCACGCCCAGCCCAGCUUGCACAUACUUUAGCUCAUUGGUCACCCUCCUCUCCCCAGUGGAAGCCCCAGGAACCUCUCAAGGCCCAGCUUCAGCCUCACCUUCCCUGUGGUCUUCUUCAAGCAGACCCAUACCAAGCUCUCUGUGCUUUGGAAACUGCCAGUGAGGUGAAGUGGGGAGGCAUCGGAGCGACAGCCACGUUGUAUGCCUGCUGCACGAGCCAGACCGCAGGACAAUACUCAAUGAGAGGCACCAACAUCCAUCCUGGCUGAGCUGAUGAUGGUGAGAGGCCACAGAGCCAUGAAAAUGACUUGGAGCAGCCUCCAUGUAUUCCUCAGGGUUGAAUCAUUGUGUGCACCACAGAGCAUUUGCUUUGUAAAAAAGCUAACACUGUGAAAAAUGGGGUAGGCACUUCCUGUUUUGACCAGGAACAAAUGCAAACCAGACCCUGCUCCUCUCACCAGGCAGAGCUUGCUCUUUCAAUUCAGAGAUAUCUUCAAGGACCCAAUUAUGCUGUGGUGCGGAAUGGAGCAUGUAUGUAACUGAGGUUCCUGCCAAAGACAUCAUCUCCUGGCUGAAUGGCAAGACUGGCCAGGACACCAGGAAACUGAGACUGAUUGGACACACAAGAAUGUGAGCUGGGUAAGCAGAAUGAAGGCCCUGGGCAUAACUUGAACACCCGAGGAACUUGAACCCAAGGCUGGCACAAAAGCCAGAAGGUGUUACUCUCCACCAGCUCAGGGAUUGUGAAGAUCUCUGUGCAGACUCCACUCUGCGGUUGGACAGCAUCCCUGAGACAUGCAUUUUGGAGGACAAAUUGUGCCUAUUCCUGAUGACAUCUGGGACGACAAUGGGCGAGAGAGGGGUUCCCACAAGAAAGUGAAACUCAGGCGGCUACAGAAGUUCCUUUCGAGCAACACCUAUUAUCACGUUACUCGGAUUCCAUUUGCUAAUUAAUUUCAGUGAAAGCUGAAAGGAGCCCCGUGGGAAGGUCUUGAUGGCCCUGCAGUGGACACAUUAGGAACAA